RNAcentral lists this transfer RNA (67 nucleotides) under Nippostrongylus brasiliensis. It matches the Rfam family "tRNA". Rfam says of the family: Transfer RNA (tRNA) molecules are approximately 80 nucleotides in length. Their secondary structure includes four short double-helical elements and three loops (D, anti-codon, and T loops). Lineage: Eukaryota; Metazoa; Nematoda; Chromadorea; Rhabditida; Heligmosomidae. The record is from Rfam by way of RNAcentral.
GUCUCGGUAGCAUAGUGGUUAGUGCCGCGGAUAAGUUGAGACGCGGGUUCGAAUCCCGCCUGAGAGG